GACGAACGCUGGCGGCGUGCUUAACACAUGCAAGUCGAACGGAAAGGCCCUGCUUUUGUGGGGUGCUCGAGUGGCGAACGGGUGAGUAACACGUGAGUAACCUGCCCCUGACUUUGGGAUAACUUCAGGAAACUGGGGCUAAUACCGGAUAGGAGCUCCUGCUGCAUGGUGGGGGUUGGAAAGUUUCGGCGGUUGGGGAUGGACUCGCAGCUUAUCAGCUUGUUGGUGGGGUAGUGGCUUACCAAGGCUUUGACGGGUAGCCGGCCUGAGAGGGUGACCGGCGACAAUAGGACUGAGAUACGGCCCAGACUCCUACGGGAGGCAGCAGUGGGGAAUAUUGCACAGUGGGCGGAAGCCUGAUACAGCAACGCCGCGUGCGGGAUGACGGCCUUCGGGUUGUGAACCGCUUUCGCCUGUGACGAAGCGUGAGUGACGGUAAUGAGUAAAGAAGCACCGGCUAACUACGUG
RNAcentral lists this ribosomal RNA (468 nucleotides) under uncultured bacterium. RNAcentral describes it as "partial 16S ribosomal RNA". It matches the Rfam family "Bacterial small subunit ribosomal RNA", at positions 28 to 507 of the family's 1533-position model. The record is from RNAcentral.